Molecule: unclassified non-coding RNA, 1454 nt
Filed under: uncultured Neocallimastigales
Lineage: Eukaryota; Fungi; Neocallimastigomycota; Neocallimastigomycetes; Neocallimastigales
Description: partial contains small subunit ribosomal RNA, internal transcribed spacer 1, 5.8S ribosomal RNA, internal transcribed spacer 2, and large subunit ribosomal RNA
Rfam family: Eukaryotic large subunit ribosomal RNA (bases 684-1454)
Source: RNAcentral
CGGAAGUAAAAGUCGUAACAAGGUUUCCGUAGGUGAACCUGCGGAAGGAUCAUUAAAAAAUUGGACUCCAUUGGUGAGUUCAUUAAUAAUCCCUACCCUUUGUGAAUUUGUUUGUUUGAAUAAUUUUUUUUCCAAAAAAAAUUAUUGAAUGUCUUUCCCUGUUUUGGUGGAGCUUGUAAAGUGAAACCAGGCAGGGGAAUGGCAAACAAUAAUUAUUUUUGAAAAAAGACCUUUUUUUAAAAUUAAACUUUUUGUAUUCAUUUGUCUAAAAUUAUUUUUAUAAUAUAAAAACAACUUUUGACAAUGGAUCUCUUGGUUCUCGCAACGAUGAAGAACGCAGCAAAAUGCGAUAAGUAGUGUGAAUUGCAGAAUACGUGAAUCAUCGAAUCUUCGAACGCAUAUUGCACUUUUUUAGUUUACUAAAAAAGUAUGUCUGUUUGAGUAUCAGUAAAAUAUUCUCAUAAAAAACAUUGUUUUUUUAUGGUUAUGAGUGUUUUACAACGAUAACAAGUUGUUUCACUUUAAAUUCUUUGUUAUCAAAAAAAUCAUUAAAAGCUAAUUUUAAAGAUUUUUUAAAAUUGGAUAAAAUUUUCCCGUAAAAAGGAAUAACCUAAACAAUUUUAAAAAAUUAAAAUUGGUUUGAUUUUUUUUGAAACCCAAAGGAAAAAAAAACGAAAUUAACUUGAUCUCAAAUCAGAUAAGAGUACCCGCUGAACUUAAGCAUAUCAAUAAGCGGAGGAAAAGAAACUAACUAGGAUUCCCUCAGUAACGGCGAGUGAAGCGGGAAGAGCUCAAAUUUGAAAUCUUCAAGGUUUUACCUUGACGAAUUGUAGUUUAAAGAAGUGUUUUCUGUUGGAGUUUUGGUAAAAGUUCUUUGGAAAAGGACAUCAUAGAGGGUGAGAAUCCCGUAUUUGACCAUUAUCUCCAGCUUUGUGAUACACUUUCAAAGAGUCGGAUUGUUUGGGAAUGCAGUCCAAAAUGGGUGGUAAAUUUCAUCUAAAGCUAAAUACUGGCGAGAGACCGAUAGCGAACAAGUACCGUGAGGGAAAGAUGAAAAGAACUUUGAAAAGAGAGUUAAACAGUACGUGAAAUUGUCAAAAGGGAAGCGUUUGACACCAGUGUUGUUUUCUCGAAAAUCAAUUAAAAAAGGUGAUUUUGUUGUGUAUUGACCUUAACAGCUUCUGCAUUUCAUUUUCUUGUCUUUUUUUAAUGCACUUUUCGUUUAACAAGUCAACAUCAGUUUCUUUUGUUGUAAAAAGGUCAUUGGAAGGUGGCUUUCUUUUCGGAAAAGUGUUUAUAGCCUUUGACUUCUGCAAUCGGAGAGACUGAGGUCUGCAGCGUAGAUCCUUCGGAGUUAGAUACAUUUGUGCUAAGUUAUAGCUUUUUAUAGACAACUUGUUGACUAUGAUUAGUCUUGUAGCUUACUCGCUUGUGCUAUUUUACCUACGCUUAGG